RNAcentral lists this microRNA precursor (95 nucleotides) under Eptesicus fuscus (big brown bat). Its description in RNAcentral is "microRNA efu-mir-9234b precursor". Lineage: Eukaryota; Metazoa; Chordata; Mammalia; Chiroptera; Vespertilionidae. The record is from miRBase by way of RNAcentral.
AGGGGCAGCUUUCUUCCAGACGGAGGUGCUCGCAACGGUCGUUGUUCCUGUGCAGGGACCUCCUUGGUGCUGGGCUGACUGGAAGCCAUUGCUGU